GUUGAAACACCGGUUUUCGUUCGAUCACCGAAGUUAAGCAACGUUGAUCCUGGUCAGUACUCAGAUGGGCGACCGCUUGAAAAUGCCU
Molecule: non-coding RNA, 88 nt
Organism: Acanthosepion pharaonis
Lineage: Eukaryota; Metazoa; Mollusca; Cephalopoda; Sepiida; Sepiidae
Source: the annotation of a GenBank genome assembly